GUAGGGAAUAUUGGUAAUCUGCGAAAGCGGGAACCAGCAACGCCGCGUGUGCGAUGAAGGCCUUCGGGUUGUAAAGCACUUUUUGAAGGGAUGAGGAAGGACAGUACCUUCAGAAUAAGCCUCGGCUAACUACGUGCCAGCAGCCGCGGUAACACGUAGGAGGCAAGCGUUAUUCGGAUUUACUGGGCGUAAAGCGCGUGCAGGCGGGUUGGUAAGUUGGAUGUGAAAGCUCCUGGCUUAACUGGGAGAGGUCGUUCAAAACUGCCAGACUAGAGGAUGAGAGAGGGAGGUGGAAUUCCGAGUGUAGUGGUGGAAUGCGUAGAUAUUCGGAGGAACACCAGUGGCGAAGGCGGCUCACUGGCUCGAUACUGACGCUGAGGUGCGAAAGCGUGGGGAGCAAACAGGAUUAGAAACCCUGGUAGUCC
This 425-nucleotide ribosomal RNA is filed under the name uncultured bacterium. Its description in RNAcentral is "partial 16S ribosomal RNA". It matches the Rfam family "Bacterial small subunit ribosomal RNA", at positions 354 to 796 of the family's 1533-position model. The record is from RNAcentral.